Molecule: long non-coding RNA, 751 nt
Organism: Carya illinoinensis
Lineage: Eukaryota; Viridiplantae; Streptophyta; Magnoliopsida; Fagales; Juglandaceae
Exons: 4
Source: RefSeq, a predicted model, not a curated record
CGCACUGCUAUGUUAUAUUUGUGGCGAGUUUUAACUGCCACAAAAUGUCAAAUAAAAUCCUACGCAAAUUCCUCCUCCUUUCUUUCCCCCAUUCUUUCUUUUCCUUGUCCCCCUUUUUUCUUUUCCCCCAGCUCGAUACUCCCUCUAUAUUCUCUGUGAGUUUGCUGCUGCCCUUCCUAAGCCAUGUCUACCGCCAUGUUGUUGCCACAUCAUCGAGGAGUGUGAUGGAGUAUGAAGAGCAAGAAAAAGGUCAUGUGUGGAGUGUUGAUUUUUCGCAUACAGAACCAUCGAUGCUUGUAUCCGCCAUAGAGAGCUCUGUGCAAUGGCAAGGACAUGUUUACCUAAUAUGUGGUAUCUUUUGGAACAAUAGAACCUUUCAAGUAUGAAACACUUUGCCUAAUAUGCGGUAUGUGGACUCAUUACAUUCUCUCAGAUUUGUUCAUCCAAUAAUCAUAAACAAGAGGUUCAACAUUUGAAAAGACAAUUACUUAUUGCCACAGAAGAAAGAAAUAAACUGGAGAAAGCAUGCAUGUAGAGCAGAUACUUUUGAGCCAUCAACUAAUGGAUGAAAUAAAAUUCAACCGGAAGUGAAACUUAUCCAAGAUUGCAUUUGGUGAAUCUAUUGCAAACAUAUUUCUGAGGAUGUUUUGUCAAUGCAUGAUACAUGUGAAAUCCAUGUGUCAUGUUUGCAUCUUCAACUUUUAUAUGAUGUUUACCUUGUAGAGGACUUUAUUUUUAGUCUUUUGGUUAA